ACCUACGGGGGGCAGCAGUGGGGGAUAUUGCACAAUGGGGGAAACCCUGAUGCAGCGACGCCGCGUGGGCGAAGAAGUAUUUCGGUAUGUAAAGCCCUAUCAGCAGGGAAGAAGAAAUGACGGUACCUGAGUAAGAAGCACCGGCUAAAUACGUGCCAGCAGCCGCGGUAAUACGUAGGUGACAAGCGUUGUCCGGAUUUACUGGGUGUAAAGGGCGCGUAGGCGGACUGUCAAGUCAGUCGUGAAAUACCGAAGCUUAACUUCGGGGCUGCGAUUGAAACUGACAGCCUUGAGUAUCGGAGAGG
RNAcentral lists this ribosomal RNA (305 nucleotides) under uncultured bacterium. RNAcentral's name for it is "bacterial SSU rRNA". It matches the Rfam family "Bacterial small subunit ribosomal RNA", at positions 337 to 657 of the family's 1533-position model. The record is from RNAcentral.